RNAcentral lists this small nuclear RNA (299 nucleotides) under Sorex araneus (European shrew). Its description in RNAcentral is "7SK RNA (ENSSARG00000019280.1)". It matches the Rfam family "7SK RNA". From Rfam's summary of the family: 7SK was discovered as an abundant small nuclear RNA in the mid-70s but a possible function has only recently been suggested. Two independent studies have found that 7SK RNA binds the CDK9/cyclin T complex (known as elongation factor P-TEFb). Lineage: Eukaryota; Metazoa; Chordata; Mammalia; Eulipotyphla; Soricidae. The record is from RNAcentral.
GGAUGUGAGGGAAAUCUAGCUGUGACAUGUUACCCCAUUGAUCAGUAGUUUUGAUUCAGUUGAUCUGGCUGGCUAGGCAAGCAUGCCCUUCCACCCGCGCUGCUCCAAAAAGUAUCCCUCCCAAAUCUACUGUGGGCUCAGUAGGAGGGCAGCUUUCUUUCCCUCUUACUCAGCCAUAAGAGAGACAGACUUUUCUGGGGUUGAGGGUUCAGUAGCUGAAUUCCCUUGCUGAACUUCUAAAACAAGCUCUCAAGAAAAGUGCACAUAUUUUUAAAACCUAUAACUAUUUAUAAGCAUUU